RNAcentral lists this ribosomal RNA (330 nucleotides) under uncultured bacterium. RNAcentral describes it as "bacterial SSU rRNA". It matches the Rfam family "Bacterial small subunit ribosomal RNA", at positions 568 to 898 of the family's 1533-position model. The record is from RNAcentral.
UUCGUAGGUGGUGCGGCAAGUUGGGAGUGAAAUCUCUGGGCUUAACUCAGAGGCUGCUUUCAAAACUGCCGUGCUCGAGUGCGAGAGAGGCCAGUGGAAUUGCAGGUGUAGCGGUGAAAUGCGUAGAUAUCUGCAGGAGCACCCGUGGCGAAGGCGGCUGGCUGGAUCGCAACUGACACUGAGGAACGAAAGCUAGGGGAGCAAACAGGAUUAGAUACCCUGGUAGUCCUAGCCCUAAACCAUCAGAACUUGGGGUGGCUCGCGUAGGCGGGUCGUCCCGUAGCUAACGCGUUAAGUUCUGCGCCUGGGGAGUACGGUCGCAAGACUGAA